RNAcentral lists this ribosomal RNA (253 nucleotides) under uncultured bacterium. RNAcentral describes it as "partial 16S ribosomal RNA". It matches the Rfam family "Bacterial small subunit ribosomal RNA", at positions 524 to 776 of the family's 1533-position model. The record is from RNAcentral.
UACGAAGGGGGCUAGCGUUGCUCGGAAUUACUGGGCGUAAAGGGCGCGUAGGCGGACAGUUUAGUCAGAGGUGAAAGCCCAGGGCUCAACCUUGGAAAUGCCUUUGAUACUGGCUGUCUUGAGUUCGGGAGAGGUGAGCGGAAUGCCGAGUGUAGAGGUGAAAUUCGUAGAUAUUCGGCGGAACACCAGUGGCGAAGGCGACUCACUGGCCCGAUACUGACGCUGAGGCGCGAAAGCGUGGGGAGCAAACAGG